RNAcentral lists this ribosomal RNA (376 nucleotides) under uncultured bacterium. RNAcentral's name for it is "bacterial SSU rRNA". It matches the Rfam family "Bacterial small subunit ribosomal RNA", at positions 524 to 898 of the family's 1533-position model. The record is from RNAcentral.
UACGUAGGGUGCGAGCGUUAAUCGGAAUUACUGGGCGUAAAGCGUGCGCAGGCGGAUUGUUAAGCAAGAUGUGAAAUCCCCGGGCUUAACCUGGGAAUGGCAUUUUGAACUGGCAGUCUAGAGUGCGUCAGAGGGGGGUGGAAUUCCACGUGUAGCAGUGAAAUGCGUAGAGAUGUGGAGGAACACCAAUGGCGAAGGCAGCCCCCUGGGAUGACACUGACGCUCAUGUACGAAAGCGUGGGUAGCAAACAGGAUUAGAUACCCUGGUAGUCCACGCCCUAAACGAUGUCAACUGGUUGUUGGGGGAGUGAAAUCCCUUAGUAACGAAGCUAACGCGUGAAGUUGACCGCCUGGGGAGUACGGUCGCAAGAUUAAA